Molecule: long non-coding RNA, 4155 nt
Filed under: Sus scrofa (pig)
Lineage: Eukaryota; Metazoa; Chordata; Mammalia; Artiodactyla; Suidae
Description: lncRNA (ENSSSCG00000053088.1)
Source: RNAcentral
AACUCUUACAUUUAUAAAUUUGUGACAGUUUGCCUUGUAUUUAUAACCCAGUUCCACACUCUGAAGCAGGGAAUCUAUGGCUUCGCUACUGUUUUGAAGGACACUGCCUUUAACAACUUCCUCUCACAAUCUCACACCACCUCUAGUGAUACUACUGCUACUAUAAGAAGAAGAAGAAAGGAAGAGGAAGAAGAAAAGGAAAGAAAAAGACAAGAAAGAACAGCAAAAAUAAUAGUUGCCAUUUAUUGAGCAUCUACUGAGGGUCAGGCAUGAUACCAUUAGUUGGUUGUGGUUAGUGGGCUGUACCUAUCACUUAAAAAAAUGAAUUGGAAUAGAAUAAAGUAGAUCAGAAUGGAAUGGAAUGGAAUUGCAUAGAAAAGAAAAUAUUGGAAUUCAUCAAAGGUAUUUGUUUGCAAAUUUUUCUUUCCAUUUGUAUUGCAUGUCUGCGUGUGCAUAUGAGUACUGAUUUGCAAUAUAAAGCAUAUUUUUAAAUGUGGUUGUGAUGAAAAAAGUAACUUGUCCAAAGUCAUAAUAGAUAGUAAGUAGCAGAGCCAGCUCUAAAUCCAGUCAUGUGGCUUCCAGCUGACUAUCUCAACUUGUAUGUCAUUUAUAGAUAUGAAAAUGAAGUCUGGAGGAGUUAAGUAAUAUGAGAGAAAUGAGAAUGCCCACUACAUAGAAUUGUAUAGAUUAAAUCAGAUAAUACAAAUGUCUGGCUUAUCAUAGAGUAUACUAAUAGUUAAGCCAUUUUGCAAGAUUUUUCACGUCAGAUUGUUAUUAAUAGAGCCAUUUCUUUACUCUUUUAAAUACUCUUCUAAACCAACUAUAAUGGGGAAAAAUCAUUUAAAAAAAAGAAUAAAUACUCUUUUUACUUCAUUUAAAUGGCUACAGCACAUUCUUUUGUAUAUGUAAGGAUUUCUUUGAGUACCCAGUCUUACAUUGUGAGAUGUUUACGUUGUUUACAUCUUUUUGCAACUUAAAGCAGCAGUUAACAGCUUAAAGCACAAUUACCAUGUAAAAAUAUUUCCUCGGGAUUAAUUCUGAGAAGGGGAAUGGCUGAAUCAAAGGGCAUACUCAUUGUAAACUUAAAGUUUAAACCAAUUUACACUUUCCCCCAGCAAUUGCUCUAAGUCUGGCCUCCGUUAAAAAGUAUUCUUUGUCAGGAGUUUUCUAUUAAGUUAAAAACCCAUUUGUAGGGAAAGUUACUAUUGUCAUGUUGAGACCAACCAAGUUGGCUUUGUGCAAAACUCCUCGAAACUGCCACAUCUCCAUCUCUCCUCACUGCCAUCUCUCUCCUGUCCUUCACACAGCUUUAUGUCUCUCCUGAGAGUAUCGUUUCCUCACAAAAUAGCCAUCCCUGCCAUCACUGUGUACACUCUUCUGGACCUCAGCCAAACCCAGCUCCUGAAUACACAAGAACUGAGUAGGACCCCAUUUUAUUUCCCAAACAUAUUCAUACUGGGGGGCAACGGUAUUGAUUGCUUAAUUUCUUUAUUAUUUAUAAAUAUUCACUAAUCUUGCCCAUUCCCAUUUUCCUAGUGAAGGCUUUCAUCUCAGUACCUAAUCCUUCUCCCUGGCAGAGAUGCAAACAAGAUCCAAUCUGGACCUGUAAAAUAUAUGCAUAUUCUUCUGGACACAGCAAUUGAUCCAAGGGGCAGAAACAAGACGCAAGAAUCAGAGUCUCCCUUUGAGACUGGCAUUUUGAGAGGACUUCUCUCCAGGUGGUUGCUAAAUUAUCAUGAGGUAAACCUGGUGCUGCUGGCAGCCUCUUCCCAGCUGCACAGGGGACGUGUGCAGGGGACAGCUCCCAAAGAAAAAGAUGGCAGAGCACACAGAAGCAGAGAUGACUGGGUGACAUCAUUGAGCCCCCCCGCAUCCAGCAGUGCUGAAACUGACAGUGUUAAUGGCCUGACCCUGGCCAGAACCCAGAUUGGGACUUGAACACAGCCUAAACCCAGAUUGGGACUUAAACCCAAGGUUUUAAAUUAGAAUCAAUUCACCCUGUGUCUGGACUCACUGGAAUUCAGCGAGAGACAAAGUGAUAGGCAAGAAAUAGAUUUAUUAAGAUAGGACGCUUAGGAGCGACGCAAGCGAGCAGGCACGGAAACUCUGCCUCGAGGCGGUGGGCUACAGUUUUAUCCUCUAAGGGGAGUGGGGGUUGGAAAAGCCUGACUCUUCCUUUCUGGGAGUAGCAGCUCCUCCUAGGUGUCUGAUAAGGUGUGUAUUCAAAUCAGCAGAAGGGCGAUCCUGGCCUUGGUCUGAAGCUGAAUGCAGCCUCAUCCCAUCCCCCACCCAACGACCUGAGGCAAUUCUCACACUUCCCUAGUCAAGCAAGACUGCCUUGUUCUGAUGGCUUUUUUUGAGCAAUUAAUUAACUUACAGUGAUCUCCCAAAGUCCCCUAGAUUUUCCCUCUUUAUCUAUGAUCCUCUACUGGGACUUCUAAAAGAACCUGUACCUACUCCAUCCCUAUCAGUGCCUCCAGUGGAUUUCUGAGUUGAAAAAAAGCUUUUGGCUAAGGCAAGUAUACUUGGCUUUUUGCCUCUAGUAGCUGUAUUGAUUGAUAUAGUUGUAAAAGGAGUGGUAUUAACAGUAUGUUGAGUUCAGAGGUGGAGGCAUAGUAUGUGAAUGAAGCACUAUAUGGUAAUAAGGUGGGAAUUAAGUCAACGUAUAAAAGUAUGUAAAUAAUAAUAGUUGUAAGAGAAUUAUCCAUGCAAAAUACCUCUAAGAAAGUUAUUUGUUUUUAAAGGUAAUGUAAUGAAUAUGGAGUUUCUCUCGUGGCUCAGCAAGUUAAAAACCCAACCUAGGGUCUGUGAGGAUGCGGGUUUGAUCCCUGGCCUCACUCAGUGGUUUAAAGAUCUGGGGUAGCCAAAUGCUGUGGCUUAGGUCACAGAUGGGGCUCGGAUCUGGUGUUCCUGUGGCUGUGGUGUAGGCCGGCAGCUGCAGCUCCCAUUAGACCCCCUUGCCUGGGAAUGUCCAUAUGCUGCAGGUACAGCUGUAAAAAAUUGAAAAAUAAAAUAAAGGUAACAUAAUGAAUUUAAAGUGAGAAAUAAAUAAAUAAAGUGAGUAGAGUGAGGAGACUGGUCAUGUUCUCAAUUCUACCUCUAGACAGAUACACAGCCUUGACCAAACCCUAUCACCUUUCAAGAGACUCAUUUCCUCAUCUGAAAACAAGUGGAUUAGACUGGUUAGGCUCUAGAGACUCUUCUAGCUCUAAAAUGUGUAAACCUCAUCCAGGAGAGUCACUGUGGUCUGAUCUGUGUCUGGGAAAUGUUGUUUUCUGGUUGGCUCAGGUUUGGGUUACUGAGCUGAUGUGGGCACAGGGGAUAGUGUGUCAGAAAUGGGGAAAGGAACCAUCUCCCCAAACCCCAAACCGUAAUAGGGAAGGACCUUUGUGUUCUAUUACAAGUUAAUCACUAAAGGGAUGUUGCCCACAAACUUAAAUUAUACGUAACAGCCUUGCUCUGGGAACCUUGUCUCCCAGGUACUGAGCAUUAAGCUGAAAUACCUUUGUUUAGAUCAAAGGGAACAUCCUGACCAGGCCCAUCUGCGAAUGGCUGCAGGCAGGAAGACAUUCACACAUCCUCUCUGGAGUUUGGCCUGAACUAAGACUUUACCUCCACCCCUUCUAGUAUAACAGAAGUCUGAAUUAUAACCAGAAGAUGGCUCUUUGGGGGCUAGUGGCCACCAUCUUCUCAGUCUGUUGGCUUUUUGAAUACAGUCACCAUUCCUUGCCCUAACAACCCGUUUCAUGAUUGACUGGCCUGUUGUGCAGCAGGCAGCAUGAGCUUGGACUGGAUAACAAAACCAUGUAAUUAUUACACAUCAGGGGAGGAGCAGAAUAGAUAUUAAGAACACAAUCAAGAACACAAUCAUGAUGACCAUGUAACACCUUAUUAAGGCAUCUCUGUGUGUUCCAAAACAGCCACUGUGAGGGACAGAGAAGCUGUUCAGCAUUUCAUAAAAUUGAAUCCAGGCUGCUAGUGACUAAAUCUCCAUUGACUACCACCCUCUCUACAUGUCUGGCCUCCUCUGAAACAACUCUUAGUGCAGAGGUCACAAACUGCCAGCCCACAGAUGGGUUUUGUUAGGACCACACAUUGUUGGUCCACAGAAUAUUUUUAAAAUUUCAAGCUUGUUGCCAAGGUUUUAAAAAUUGG